This 1038-nucleotide ribosomal RNA is filed under the name uncultured bacterium. Its description in RNAcentral is "bacterial SSU rRNA". It matches the Rfam family "Bacterial small subunit ribosomal RNA", at positions 412 to 1459 of the family's 1533-position model. The record is from RNAcentral.
CGGCCUAUGGGUUGUAACUGCUUUUGUACGGGAAGAACUACAUUUACGUGUAAAUGUUGACGGUACCGUAAGAAAUAAGGGAUCGGCUAACUCCGUGCCAGCAGCCGCGGUAAUACGGAGGAUCCGAGCGUUAUCCGGGAUUAUUGGGUUUAAAGGGUGCGCAGGCGGGUAUAUAAGUCAGAGGUGAAAUUUCCACGGCUCAACUGUGGGACUGCCUUUGAUACUGCAUAUCUAGAGUAUAUUUGGAGUGGGCGGAAUGUAGCAUGUAGCGGUGAAAUGCUUAGAUAUGCUACAGAACACCGAUCGUGAAGACAGCUCACUAAACUAUAACUGACGCUCAGGCACGAAAGCGUGGGGAGCAAACAGGAUUAGAUACCCUGGUAGUCCACGCCGUAAACGAUGAUUACUCGCUGUUGGCGAUACACAGUCAGCGGCUAAGCGAAAGUGAUAAGUAAUCCACCUGGGGAGUACGAUCGCAAGAUUGAAACUCAAAGGAAUUGACGGGGGCCCGCACAAGCGGAGGAGCAUGUGGUUUAAUUCGAUGAUACGCGAGGAACCUUACCUGGGCUCGAACGUAGUGUGACUAAGUGUGAAAGCAUUUAUUUCUUCGGAACAGACUACGAGGUGCUGCAUGGUUGUCGUCAGCUCGUGCCGUGAGGUGUUAGGUUAAGUCCUGCAACGAGCGCAACCCCUAUUCUUAGUUGCCAGCAUGUUAUGAUGGGGACUCUAAGAAAACUGCCUACGCAAGUAGUGAGGAAGGCGGGGAUGACGUCAAAUCAGCACGGCCCUUACGUCCAGGGCUACACACGUGCUACAAUGGCCGGUACAGAGGGCAGCUACAUAGUGAUAUGAUGCGAAUCUCGAAAGCCGGUCUCAGUUCGGAUUGGAGUCUGCAACUCGACUCCAUGAAGUUGGAUUCGCUAGUAAUCGCGCAUCAGCCAUGGCGCGGUGAAUACGUUCCCGGGCCUUGUACACACCGCCCGUCAAGCCAUGGAAGCUUGGGGUACCUGAAGUCCGUGACCCACAAGGAGCGGCCUA